CUGGGUUCAGAACGUCGUGAGACAGUUCGGUCGUUAUCCACUGUGGGCGUAGGAAACUUGAGGGGUUCAUUCCCUAGUACGAGAGGACCGGGAAUGACGCACUUCUGGUGUGGCAGUUGUUCCGUCAGGGGCAGCGCUGCGUAGCCAUGUGCGGACGAGAUAAGCGCUGAAAGCAUCUAAGUGCCAAGCUCUUCCCAAGAUAGGGUUUCCCCGGGCAGGCAAUCCGCAAGGGUUGUUUUGCCCCUAAAGACCACCGGUAGACUACCGGUUUGAUAGGUCAGGCGUGUAAGCGCGGCAACGCGUUCAGCGGACUGAUACUAAUCGGUCGUGAGGCUUGAUCGCU
Molecule: ribosomal RNA, 343 nt
Filed under: Verrucomicrobiota bacterium
Lineage: Bacteria; Pseudomonadati; Verrucomicrobiota
Description: Verrucomicrobia bacterium (anaerobic digester metagenome) partial 23S ribosomal RNA
Rfam family: Bacterial large subunit ribosomal RNA
Source: RNAcentral